GACGAACGCUGGCGGCGUGCCUAAUACAUGCAAGUAGAACGCUGAAGGAGGAGCUUGCUCUUCUGGAUGAGUUGCGAACGGGUGAGUAACGCGUAGGUAACCUGCCUGGUAGCGGGGGAUAACUAUUGGAAACGAUAGCUAAUACCGCAUAACAGUAGAUGUUGCAUGACAUUUGCUUAAAAGGUGCAAUUGCACCACUACCAGAUGGACCUGCGUUGUAUUAGCUAGUUGGUGGGGUAACGGCUCACCAAGGCGACGAUACAUAGCCGACCUGAGAGGGUGAUCGGCCACACUGGGACUGAGACGAGGCCCAGACUCCUACGGGAGGCAGCAGGAGGGAAUUUUCGGAAAUGGACGGAAGUCUGACCGAGCAACGCCGGGGGGGGGAAGAAGGUUUUCGGAUCGUAAAGCUCUGUUGUAAGGGAAGAACGGGUGUGGGGGUGGAAAGUGCACACUGGGACGGUAUUUUACCAGAAAGGGACGGCUAACUACGU
RNAcentral lists this ribosomal RNA (494 nucleotides) under uncultured bacterium. RNAcentral describes it as "partial 16S ribosomal RNA". It matches the Rfam family "Bacterial small subunit ribosomal RNA", at positions 28 to 506 of the family's 1533-position model. The record is from RNAcentral.